CAGGACGAACGCUGGCGGCGUGCCUAAUACAUGCAAGUCGAACGGUCUUUCUAUGGAAGCUUGCUUCCACUGAAAAGAUAGUGGCGAACGGGUGAGUAACACGUGGGUAACCUGCCCAUAAGAGGGGGGAUAACAUCCGGAAACGGGUGCUAAUACCGCAUAGUUUUCUUGAUCGCAUGAUCGGGAAAGGAAAGACGGCCUUUGUGCUGUCGCUUAUGGAUGGACCCGCGGCGUAUUAGUUAGUUGGUGAGGUAACGGCUCACCAAGACGAUGAUACGUAGCCGACCUGAGAGGGUGAUCGGCCACAUUGGGACUGAGACACGGCCCAAACUCCUACGGGAGGCAGCAGUAGGGAAUCUUCCGCAAUGGACGAAAGUCUGACGGAGCAACGCCGCGUGAGUGAAAGAAGGUUUUCGGAUCGUAAAACUCUGUUGUCAGAGAAGAACAAGUUGGAGAGUAACUGCUCCAGCCUUGACGGUAUCUGACCAGAAAGCCACGGCUAACUACGUGCCAGCCGCGGC
This 521-nucleotide ribosomal RNA is filed under the name uncultured bacterium. RNAcentral's name for it is "bacterial SSU rRNA". It matches the Rfam family "Bacterial small subunit ribosomal RNA", at positions 25 to 518 of the family's 1533-position model. The record is from RNAcentral.